RNAcentral lists this long non-coding RNA (2030 nucleotides) under Leptinotarsa decemlineata (Colorado potato beetle). RNAcentral's name for it is "uncharacterized LOC111513693, transcript variant X2". The record is from RNAcentral. Lineage: Eukaryota; Metazoa; Arthropoda; Insecta; Coleoptera; Chrysomelidae.
UUAAAAAUCAGGUUAUGUGUUAGAACUUGCUUUAGUUAUAUUGUGGUUUUCUUUUUUACUUACCUGUAUCGGAAUUUGAAUUCAGAAAAUUCCAGUUAGAUGUAGUAUACGUGAGAAAGUAUAUGCCACACAAUCAUUUCAUAACAAACAAGUGCACCAAAAAAAUCCAGAGCCUUUAGCUUAUUCAUCUCAGAGGGGAUGCCCUGCAACUUUUAGUAGCCUUUUUCUUGAAGCAGAUUGUGAUGCUGCAUUCAAAACCCAUAAGAAUUCAGUGGACCAUUUGCAGAGAAUUCAAUUGCUGAAGUUUGAAACAGAGUGCCCUGUUAUGAAAAAUAUAAAUGAUUUUGGAAAUCAAAUAUUGAAACAAUUAACAAUUGCUCUUAUGUUUUGAAAAGUAGAAAUGCUAGUACUAUUGGUGAAAUAGUGUAUCACAAGUGCAACAGGUGUACCCACAUCAAGUGAGCACUAAUUUGAUUAUUGAGUGUAAAGGUAUUCAGAUUGGGUACAGAUAUGCUACAUGGAUAUGGUACAGCUGAGCCUAUAUUUCAAAAAUUAACAUAAAUAUUAACCCUAUAUAAGUGCAAUUUGAUAAAAGCUUUGGAUAAUGCUUUGAGUUAUAUGUGAAACAAUGAAGUCACAAGACAUUCUAGAGAGUAUUUUUCUAAUGCCUGCAGCCAUAAUUUAAAAAAAUGGGCUUACUGUUUUAGAAAAGAAGCUAGCAUUACCACAAAUAUGCAUAUGGACUUGAUGCAUAAAGUAAUUAAGUAUUUCUACUUGGAAACAAAGGCAGUAAAAUGCCUUCAUAAGGGUUUAAACAUGGUAUUGAAAUAUGUAAGAGACAAGAUUGGUGAACGAAUUAUUACAUUGAGCAAGGGUGAACAUUCCAAACAAACAAGACUGAUAUCUCAGAAUCACAAGGAGGCUAUUAAAAAUAGCAAUGAGCAUACAAUUUUUAAAAUUGGUAAUAACUGGAAAAUUUCCAAAAAUCAGAAUAGUUCAUAUACUAUCCACCAGAUAUUAGAAUCGAAAUGCUGUGAACAAUUAUGUUUGUUCUGUGAGGCACGUAAUCAUAAGAUUUUAUGUGAGUGCAAAUUCUAUAGAGAAAGAAAAAUUAUGUGCAAUUGAUAAUGAAAUUAGAAAGUUUAGAUUUUCAUCAGCUUGGUGAUGACACUAUCAAUAAAAUACAUCAGUAUUCAUCCAUAAUAAAUAACUUAUCUAAAUGUACAAAAUUGAUAGAAACGGAUAAUGAAUUGAAACCCAAAAAUAAAUCCUCUAAAAGAUACAUUGAUCCACAAAUUAGGUUCACAUCAACGAAAAAGAAACGCGAUCAGAAAAAAACAUUUCAUUGGGCCUCCCCACAAGAACUGACAACAAUUCAAGAAAACCUAUCACACGCCCUUGUAGAUGUAUUUUUUUACAAAGCAGUUCAACCUAUAAGUGACCACCAAUAUCGUUGAUUAUCACCAUUUCGAUAUUUAUGUUUUUUUGUUUGGCGAUAAACUCUUGUUUUUAGAAAAUUGUUUUUAUUAGCAUAGUUCCUGAGUUACAUUUUGAAUUUCCCGUGAAAUACGAACUGGCUACACUUGGCAACGUUGGUGCGGACUGGGUGGUUUAGCCCGAGAAUACCUACCACAGAGAAGCGACAAAGACGGCCAUUUUGUGUCCCUUUUUCGUAGACGCAUGCGUCGACUUGGUUGUCCCACGUCAUUCUCGGGCUUAGUUAUCUCCAUUAGUCUGUGAGCACUGAGCAAACAUAAUGAGGUAGGUAAUUAGUUACAAAAGGUACCUACCUAACUCGGUAUACAUUAAAUUUAUGCUAUUUAAGCAAGAGUUUUCAGGAGAUAAUUGGUUUUGAAGAAUACAUCGUGAGAGAAACAGUAGAAAAUUCAGUGAUAUUUAAGGCACUUGAAAUUAAAAUUAAAACAAUGCUCGAAUAGGACAAGCGAUGUGUGAUAUCUAUAGAUGAGAUGGCUUUAAAAUCCAAUAUUUUUUUUGAUACAGGAUGUGAUGAAAUUAUUGGUUUCGAAGAU